UACGUAGGGGGCAAGCGUUAUCCGGAUUUACUGGGUGUAAAGGGCGCGCAGGCGGUAUAUCAAGUCAGCUGUCAAAGACUGGGGCUCAACCCUGGUAUGCGGUUGAAACUGAUAUGCUGGAGUGCCGGAGGGGCAAGCGGAAUUCCUGGUGUAGCGGUGAAAUGCGUAGAUAUCAGGAGGAACACCGGCGGCGAAGGCGGCUUGCUGGACGGCAACUGACGUUGAGGCUCGAAAGCGUGGGGAGCAAACAGGAUUAGAUACCCCU
RNAcentral lists this ribosomal RNA (265 nucleotides) under uncultured prokaryote. RNAcentral describes it as "partial 16S ribosomal RNA". It matches the Rfam family "Bacterial small subunit ribosomal RNA", at positions 524 to 788 of the family's 1533-position model. The record is from RNAcentral.